AAAGUGGCUGUAAUUUUGAUAGUUUCAUUGGAAUAUUAUCUAUCAGUUCAUUCUUAAAUCACAAAAAUUCUUUUUCUGCCUGGUUUUACUUCAGAAAAUAGGGUCACUUUGGAUUGGAAAGGCAAAGAGGUGAUUGUGUGGAAGUCCAAGGCAUUUUCCCCAAAGCAGAAGGUUUGAACCAUAUGGCUACAUGAGUUCUAAUUUACGUGGCAUCUUCUAAGUCAGCAGAACGCGUCUUGGCCUGCCUGUGGGAGUGCAGUCAGCACCUCACCCAGUGAAGUGCAAACGCCUCCCCAGGGCUGAGGCCAGUUUUGGCUGCUGCUGCAGAGAUCAGAGAUUUGCAGGCCACAUGAGACCUUCCUCGGGACAACUGAGCUCUUCCACGCAGUGGCAUGGCUGACCACGGCUGCAGAGCUGGACAUGUGAAAUUGAAAAAUAUUAAACAUCACAGCUUGUGACUUCACUGUUCCUUCUGUUCCCACUGGGGGGAAAAGUAACACAAUCUCCUCUCCCAGACGGGAUGGUGAGAGCGGACAUUUGGAUGCCAUUUUCAAGCAAUGUUUAAUGAAGUGAGAAAACGCGUUUGCAGUGUUGUGCUCCGUGGCACACGCAAGCCCAGAAGCGCACAAUGGCCGCAUUUUGUGAUUUAGACAUGAAUUGGAAAAGCCAAGGAAAUGCCAUCGAAAUAAAAAUCAGACUUGAAAGUCUAAGCUGAGCCAGAAACAGAUGUACUUUUUGCUACUUAAAAAAGAAAUUCUUCUGUUCCCUCCUGUCUUUCCCCCUCAAGCUGUGCCCUGUCACUAUCUUAAGUUGACCUUUUCACUGGGUCUCCCUGAGAUGCUUUUAGUGAACUGGUUGGAGCAUGUGAUCCUUGACCUUUCUGCACAUUCUUUGGGGAGCCCCAGGGUUCUCCAGCUGCCCUCUGGGUGGUCCCCACAGACAUGGCCACAGAUGUCUGCUCCUGAUAAGUCCAGAGAGCAGGGAUCCGAGACCCAUCAUGGACUCCUCUGGAGGAUGAAGUGUGGAGCAGCUGAUCGAUGGGGAGAGUAACAAGCUGGAGUUUACCCUUGACUGGAACUGAGGCAUCCUCCUUGGGUGGACCUGUACUUGAGAGAAAAUGGCCUUUAUCACUGCAUCAUCUUAAAGUCUAAAUAUUGCACCUGCACACCAGUAUUUAAGCAACUGUGCAAAGAUGUUUUUAUAAAGAGCGCCUGAGUCAUAAAUUUGCAUGAAGCUCCAUGGAGAAGAAAUAAAUCUUUU
This 1260-nucleotide long non-coding RNA is filed under the name Cavia porcellus (domestic guinea pig). RNAcentral's name for it is "lncRNA (ENSCPOG00000032345.1)". The record is from RNAcentral. Lineage: Eukaryota; Metazoa; Chordata; Mammalia; Rodentia; Caviidae.